UCCAUGGUGGCCCAGUGGCUAAGACUCUGCACUCCUGAGGCAGGGGCCCAGGUUCGUUCCCUGGCCAGGGAA
Ovis aries (sheep) is the source of this 72-nucleotide transfer RNA. It matches the Rfam family "tRNA". Rfam says of the family: Transfer RNA (tRNA) molecules are approximately 80 nucleotides in length. Lineage: Eukaryota; Metazoa; Chordata; Mammalia; Artiodactyla; Bovidae. The record is from Rfam.